GUUGAUGAAUUGCCACCAAUGCACGACUCAAAAUCGUGUUCCCUUGUGGAGUGUGGGUUCGACUCCCACCAUCGGCA
Molecule: transfer RNA, 77 nt
Filed under: Caryophanales bacterium
Lineage: Bacteria; Bacillati; Bacillota; Bacilli; Caryophanales
Description: Bacillales bacterium (coal metagenome) tRNA-OTHER
Rfam family: tRNA
About the family: Transfer RNA (tRNA) molecules are approximately 80 nucleotides in length. Their secondary structure includes four short double-helical elements and three loops (D, anti-codon, and T loops).
Source: RNAcentral